RNAcentral lists this ribosomal RNA (422 nucleotides) under uncultured bacterium. RNAcentral describes it as "bacterial SSU rRNA". It matches the Rfam family "Bacterial small subunit ribosomal RNA", at positions 81 to 518 of the family's 1533-position model. The record is from RNAcentral.
ACCUAGGGUACUGAGUGGCGGACGGGUGAGUAACGCGUGGGUAACCUGCCUUAGACAGGGGGAUAACAUCAAGAAAUUGGUGCUAAUACCGCAUAUGCUCACAGUAUCGCAUGAUACAGGUGAGGAAAACUCCGGUGGUCUAAGAUGGACCCGCGUCGUGAUUAGCUAGUUGGAGGGGUAACGGCCCACCAAGGGCGACGAUCAGUAGCCGACUUGAGAGAGUGAUCGGCCACAUUGGGACUGAGACACGGCCCAAACUCCUACGGGAGGCAGCAGUAGGGAAUAUUGCACAAUGGGGGAAACCCUGAUGCAGCGACGCCGCGUGAAGGAUGAAGUAUUUCGGUAUGUAAACUUCUAUCAGCAAGGAAGAAAAUGACGGUACUUGACUAAGAAGCCCCGGCUAAGUACGUGCCAGCAGCCGC